Mycena leptocephala is the source of this 88-nucleotide non-coding RNA. Lineage: Eukaryota; Fungi; Basidiomycota; Agaricomycetes; Agaricales; Mycenaceae. The record is from the annotation of a GenBank genome assembly.
GAUCUGGUGGUGAAAUGAAUCACACCCACUCUUAUUAUGAUUGAAAGAUUGUUUGUGGGAGUCCCCAGUUCGAGUCUGUGCCAGGUCA